RNAcentral lists this ribosomal RNA (550 nucleotides) under Fusarium solani. RNAcentral describes it as "eukaryotic LSU rRNA". The stretch from base 157 to 310 matches the Rfam family "5.8S ribosomal RNA". The record is from RNAcentral. Lineage: Eukaryota; Fungi; Ascomycota; Sordariomycetes; Hypocreales; Nectriaceae.
CAUUACCGAGUUAUACAACUCAUCAACCCUGUGAACAUACCUAUAACGUUGCCUCGGCGGGAACAGACGGCCCCGUAACACGGGCCGCCCCCGCCAGAGGACCCCCUAACUCUGUUUCUAUAAUGUUUCUUCUGAGUAAACAAGCAAAUAAAUUAAAACUUUCAACAACGGAUCUCUUGGCUCUGGCAUCGAUGAAGAACGCAGCGAAAUGCGAUAAGUAAUGUGAAUUGCAGAAUUCAGUGAAUCAUCGAAUCUUUGAACGCACAUUGCGCCCGCCAGUAUUCUGGCGGGCAUGCCUGUUCGAGCGUCAUUACAACCCUCAGGCCCCCGGGCCUGGCGUUGGGGAUCGGCGGAAGCCCCCUGCGGGCACAACGCCGUCCCCCAAAUACAGUGGCGGUCCCGCCGCAGCUUCCAUUGCGUAGUAGCUAACACCUCGCAACUGGAGAGCGGCGCGGCCACGCCGUAAAACACCCAACUUUCUGAAUGGUGACCUCGAAUCAGGUAGGAAUACCCGCUGAACUKAAGCAACGAGGGGGGGGGAAGAGAGGAA